This 203-nucleotide long non-coding RNA is filed under the name Elaeis guineensis (African oil palm). RNAcentral describes it as "long non-coding RNA (EGUI_LNC003217)". The record is from RNAcentral. Lineage: Eukaryota; Viridiplantae; Streptophyta; Magnoliopsida; Arecales; Arecaceae.
CUCUCGAGCAAAAGGUAUUGUCCGUUUUGGCACUGACACUUUAACUGAACAGAUCCGUCCUCGACAUCCAGGCCUCAAGGUUUUGUCCCUCUGGGCCUUCGGCCCAAAAGGCGCCUCUUGAUUCGGAGAAGAAUCUCCAAGCCUCAUAAGACGAGAUGUCCUUGACUCACUAUCCAAUAUGGGACUAAAGUCCCUCCCCCCGC